RNAcentral lists this microRNA (17 nucleotides) under Homo sapiens (human). Its description in RNAcentral is "hsa-miR-4481". The record is from miRBase by way of RNAcentral. Lineage: Eukaryota; Metazoa; Chordata; Mammalia; Primates; Hominidae.
GGAGUGGGCUGGUGGUU